RNAcentral lists this long non-coding RNA (663 nucleotides) under Pongo abelii (Sumatran orangutan). Its description in RNAcentral is "lncRNA (ENSPPYG00000039577.1)". Lineage: Eukaryota; Metazoa; Chordata; Mammalia; Primates; Hominidae. The record is from RNAcentral.
GAGCUGUCAGAAUCCUGCCCUUCCUUCUGUCUCCAGAUCAAAGUCCUUCAGGAAAUGCAACUACUUCAGUGACAAGAGAUAAUUAUCAUCUUCUGACAGAGGAGGAAUUUGGGGUUUGGUCCCAGUCCAUGAAGUGGCACAGUCAGAAUAAAAGUGGCGGGAGCGUCCCCGUGAGAGGCCCGACCCAGGUGUGGGCCACGCUGGGAGCCCAAGGACCAAGCGGCGCUCCUGGGAUGCAGAGGAGGAUUUGUGACAGCUUAGGGAACAGACAAAAUGGUUUCGAAAAGGCUAAUGGCAGUCCCGAACUGACAGCCACAAGUGGCACCUGAACAGGGACUUGAACAAAGAAAGUCUGCUGGAGCAGAAAAAGUGAAACUGACCAGAUGAACGAGAAACCCUGGGAUGAGUCUGCCUACAGAGGAUAUAAGGUCAGUGUCCUAAAGAGGUACUGGGAGUGGGACGUUUCUGAAUCAGGGUAAUGUGGGGCAGAAUUUAUCUAUUGAGGAGCAGCAUUAUGUGCAGUUGCUUAAAGUUUUACUUAAACAAUCUGGUGCUCAGGUUAGUUCUGAAACACUGAUCAAGCUGCUGCAGGAGGUUAUCACGCAUAACCCCUCAUUUCUGCAGACAGGCGCUGUUGAUGUGGAAAAUUGGAACCGAGUAGGG